Molecule: long non-coding RNA, 906 nt
Organism: Pipra filicauda (Wire-tailed manakin)
Lineage: Eukaryota; Metazoa; Chordata; Aves; Passeriformes; Pipridae
Exons: 2
Source: RefSeq, a predicted model, not a curated record
UUGAUGAUGAAAUUCUUAGAUAAAAUUCUACAAUAGUGGAUAUAUUACAUCCAUGAAAAGGUUUAAAUUACCAUUCUGUUCUUGGCUGCAAAGACACCGUACUGUGACCAAGACCUUCCCCUUGAGAGACACAUGGUCAAAUCUCUGGAUACACAAAUCAGUUUGUUCUUUUUAAUGCCUCUAAAAAUGCUAACUAUUCAGGUCCAGUGUAAUUGUUAGCCUUCAGAUGGCUCUUUUAAGCUCUUAUCGUGGACUGAAUUGUUUGGAAUAUACAUGAACUAGUUCUCUGGUUUAGGCUGAAGUAGACCCUCGUGAGUACUCUGCCAGCUCUUUUUGCAAGCUCCACUUUUGAGAACUGUUGAUAAACACUCUGGACAAUAUUCUGUCCUGCAGUCAUGAAUUCCUGUUGUUCUCUUGAACAUGCCAGACUUUGAAUAAAAGCCAUUGCUUCCUGGAGGGCAGAACCACAGUUCUAGCAGGCAGUACUGACCUUGACAUCACACAGUACUUACUGUGUCAUUUGUAUGUAAUUCUUGUACAUGGAGAUAUGGAAAAUUGUUGCUGACAGUGUGUUUCAUGUUAUUUUUCCACUGACCAUGCACACAGAGUGUAAAUGUCAAGCAACCAUUGUACCAAAUCUUAUGCAUUGCAACAUAAAUGUACCAGUAGUUCACAGACAUGUAAGAAGAAUUUCUUACAGGAGACCCAGCAAGCUUGGACUUUAGCUGGCUGUUAUGCACCCUCUAAAUCUUUGUCACUUGGGAUAAACACAUCCCUUGUAAACACAGUGGGAAUCACACUUACAUGGGGUUUUCAUAUGUCAGACUGUAGUCUCUUUCACUUAUGCUAUAUUCACUAUGUAUUAUGUAGUGAUAUAUAUAAUAAAAAUUUAAUACUACAUAUUCA